Molecule: long non-coding RNA, 423 nt
Filed under: Sorghum bicolor (sorghum)
Lineage: Eukaryota; Viridiplantae; Streptophyta; Magnoliopsida; Poales; Poaceae
Description: long non-coding RNA (SBIC_LNC002986)
Source: RNAcentral
CACUCGAGUAGAUCUCUAUAAAAGUCAUCAUGCUACCUUUGUUUAUCCUAGUAAGUGUUGGUUUGGAAGUACUGGACAUACUUCCAUUGGCAUUUAAAUUAAGCGUGGUGCUUAGGUUAAAUAGCCUUCCUUAAUCUGAUUAGACAUGGAGUCUAGUUUGGUUACUGAACUAAAAAAACUGCUUGAGUAGGCAUUGGUAUAUUUUGUCGGACUAACCCCUGCAGAAAAACAUUCAAUAUCAAUUUGGGAAGUCCUGAGAUACAAAAUCACAUUGGAGAUAAAGGAGACACAUGAAGUUCAAAGAUUUGCACAAGGAAGGACAUAGCUCAUUCAUCAUAGAGAGAUGAUCCAUGGAAGGAGACAAAGUACAUAAACAAGAUACACACCCAUUACAAAUGGGAAGCUUCCACAAGGUGAGAUGGU